UGCAGUUCCUGUUCCAGAAG
This 20-nucleotide microRNA is filed under the name Mus musculus (house mouse). Its description in RNAcentral is "microRNA 5114". Lineage: Eukaryota; Metazoa; Chordata; Mammalia; Rodentia; Muridae. The record is from RNAcentral.